GAAAUUCCCUCCCACAGGACGUCACAGAGUUUGACAGCUUUCACUGCAGAAGAGGAUGCAAAUGAGAGAAGUGAAUCCCCAUAAAUAGGAGCUGACUGGUCCUCUGCAGCAGAACUUGAUUCAGCAGAGAGCUGUUGCAUUGGGUAGAAGAUCCUUCAGCAGACAUCUCAUCAGCGACACAAAGUGGAAGAUGGGCAGAGCAGCCGGUGUGACCAUCCUCAUCCUCCUUCUGUGUGCCGUCACUGCACAGGGUUUUCCGAGUUUAGGAUUAUAUGGACGGUGCCACUGCAUUAGAACCAGAUCUGUUUUUAUUCAUCCAAAGUUCAUCCGGAGCCUGAAAUAUAUUCCAGGAGGAGCUCACUGUGAAAACACAGAGAUAAUGUGAGUAAAUGAGUCAAAGCAUCAACUUCAACCUUUCUCCAUCUGUGACUGUGAUGAUGUGCACAUUGAACUUCUGGGGAAUAUAUUUUAAAUAUCACCUUCUCUUCACAGCAUCACACUGAGACAUAAGAGAAAGGUGUGCGUGAAUCCUGAUGCUAAGUGGGUGCAGGCAUUCAUAAAUGCCAACAAAGGUGCCAGAAAAGACAAAUGAAAGAUGAAGCUACAGUCUGAAGAAUGCAACUCCGUGCCAGAAUUACCUGACAGGGACAGAGGAAGAUCUGCUCUAUUUGUUUACUAUCUGACAUUGCCGUCUGAUGGUUCAUUCUAGAGUCUUCACUUCAUUGACUUCUGUGGAUAAUUUCACUUCACUGUUCAUCCUUUCAGUAUAGGAGUAGAAAGGUUCUUCUGCAGUUGUGUAGGGCUAUUGCAAGACCACAUCUAUAGUUUUGUGUACAGUUUUGGUCUCCUAAUUUGAGGAAGGACAUCCUUGUGAUUGAGGCAGUGCAGCGUAGGUUCACGAGAUUAAUCCCUGGGAUGGCGGGACUGUCACAUGAGGAAAGAUUGAAAAGACUAGGCUUGUAUUCACUGGAGUUUAGAAGGAUGAGGGGGUUCUUAUAGAAACAUAUAACAUUAUAAAAGGACUGGACAUGCUAGAUACAGGAAAAAUGUUCCCAAUGUUGGGUGAGUCCAGAACCAGGGGCCACAGUCUUAGAAUAAAGGGGAGGCCAUUUAAGACUGAGAUGAGAAAAAACUUUUUCACCCAGAAAGUUGUGAAUUUGUGGAAUUCCCUGCUACAGAGGGCAGUGGAGGCUAAAUCACUGGAUGGAUUUAAGAGAGAGUUAGAUAGAGCUCUAGGGGCUAGUGGAGUCAAGGGAUAUGGGGAGAAGGCAGGCACGGGUUAUUGAUUGGGGACGAUCAGCCAUGAAUGGCGGUGCGGGCUCGAAUGGCCUCCUCCUGCACCUAUUUUCUAUGUUUCUAUCUUACUAUGAUGCAGGACUUGUUUGCUCUUGUCACAAUAACAUGGUAACAUCACAAGAUAGUCUGCAAUUGAUUUGUAGUUCUCCAUAAUCAUUUGGAGUUGGUUUCUAAUCAAUGAACUGAAACUGAAGUUAUCCGUGGAAAAUGAUAAAAGAAAUGUGCCAGUAGUUAAUAUUUCAUAUUAGAAGUCAGAAGAGUGGGAGGUGAUGUUAGUUUUAGAAUAGCAUUUCCAUGGACAUAUUGUCCAUUUUGAUCUUUGCCCACAUGGAAAUGCAGUGGAUGGGAUUGGCAUGCGAGAGGUUGGCUGAGUUCUCUGUUGGUCAGAAAUUAAGGCUCAUUAAACUACUUGAAUAACAUUUGCACCAGCUUGUCCCAGCUCCCCUAAUCUCCCCUUCCCCUAAACCUACACUCCCAUGCCUGCAUCCCUCAUAUGAGAACUUACUGGAACCCAUUCUGUUUUCACACAUUACCUCCACAAUCCUACAUGUGUUACCAGCAAUGGAGGGCUAAUAUAUCAGGAAGUUAUAUCAGGUGCAGUGAUCUCGGUUAGAAUGUCGAAAAUCAAAAAAAUGUGAACAUGUUUUUAAUUUUACUGGAAGAUAUAGAGUAAAGUUGUAUUGUUUCAACAUUUCACAUGCUUCCUUUCCCUGAUGAAUCCUGUUCCUAGUCUGUGAUAUGCAGACAGGAAUACUGCGGUCCAGAUCUGUUUAUUUCAGUUUGAAUGAAAACAUUAUUUUUAUUGAAAUACUUACAAGUGUUGUUGGUGCCCAUUUACAUUAGUGCCUAUUGAUCAUUUUUACUGACGCUGUGGAAUUUUCUCUGUAAAAUGUCAGACUAAGAUCUAUCCAAAGUCUGAAGAAGCAAAUUAUCUGCAGAUGUAAUUUUUAUGUAAAAUACUUGCAUUUUAGAAAUUGGUGCUGCUAAUAGUGUGAUUAUUAUUUGAGGAAAUGGAAUUUGUAAAUAGGAAUAAUGUCUGUACACUGAUUAAUAGAAAUAUUUUGUUGUGGAAGAUUGUUCACUGACUGAAUUUAGUUGACCAAAUGACAUAUCUCGACAUUUGAUGUUUAUAAAUUUUGUUGACCAUUCCACAAAUGUAUAUAAGAAAGUAAAAUAAACUGGAUUUCUCAUGUCAGUGGCAUUUCAUGGAGUUUCUACAACUCACAGCAUGCAACACAAGCGGUCUGGACAAGUGCUGGGCCUCACUCUGAGAGAACCACACUGCAAAGUGGAAGCAGUAACACUGCAUUUGUACAAACAUUGAUUUAAUCCAAGGCUUUAUACAAUGAUGAUAGAAGGAUUUGGGAGGGGGGUAGCCAGUGGAGGUACACAAUCCGAAGAAUGAUCCAAAACAAAAUGCAUAAUGUGAGUUAUGGAUGGGCGAACAAGGAUUUGUCUCUUAAUUCUAAGUGUGCAUCUGUGUGUGUGUGUACACAUGUGUCUGGUGUCAGUUACAUGUCUGCUCCACAUGUGAUGACUGAUUCCUGUGCAGUGGUCCUUGGACUCCAGACGUCGUGGUCCCCUUGCUACUGAAGUCCUUGUGGUAGCUGGUGAAACCUGGAAAGUCAGCAUCCUGGUAGACAGUCCCAAAUGCCACUCUGCUAUCAUAGCUUGGGAAAGAUGAUGCUUUGACCACAUCACCACACUGGGAGAGGCACAGUGGGCAGGAGAUGGCGAGUUUAAAGAACAAGACCGUACCUACAUCCUCUUCUCAAGUGGAAAAACAGAAGUAGAACCACUGUCCUGGGCUAACGUAGCCCUGGACACCUGACUAUUGAUGCUUGUCUGUAUGGAGUUUGUCCCCACAAUCUGCAUGGGUUUUCUUCAGGAAGCUCCGGUUUCCCCCCACACUCCAAAGACGUACAGGUUUGUAUGUUAACUGGCUUGAUAUAAAUGUAAAUUGUCCCUAGUGUGAGUAGGAUAGUGUUAGCGUACGGGGAUCGCUGGUCGGCGUAGACUCGGUGGGCCGAAGGUUCUGUUUCCACGCUGUAUCUCUAAACUCUAAACUAAACUAAACUCCAAGCGGCACAGAGCACAACUUAACACAGAAAUCAUAAGAGGAGAGGAACGUCGGGUCACGGGCGUGCAGAGGCCUGGGGCUUACCACCGCUUAUCUGGAUCAGGGUUGCUCCACUACUUCAGGCAUGCGAACUUUAGACUGUUCUUUCUUCUUUGUAAACAGCGCCAAAAUAUGGUGACUGUGCAUUUGUGGUUGUGCAAAAGAAUUUCACUGUGCUGUGCAUGCGUGACAAUAAAGAACCAUUGAACCAUUGAAGAGACUGCUAGAAUAUGAAGCAAAAGAUAAAGUGCUGGAAGAACUCAGCAAGUCGAGCUGCAGCUGUGGAGAGAAUGGACAGACAUUGAUUCUGAUCGGGACCCUUGUUCAAACUGAUCUUCAGCCUGAAAAAGGGAUCUGACCUAAAAAAUUGUCUGUCCAUUCCCUCCACAGAUGGUGCCUGACCAACUGAGUUCCAGCAGCUAUUUAUUUCUUACUCAGUAACACUGCCUUCAAGGAUUGAGCUUCAACAUCAAGAGUGACCCAGCAUAACCCAGAGGGGUCUUCCUGUUGUCUGCAACAGGAAAAGUCACCCCAAGGUUGAUCUGAAUUGGAAAUGAAAAUCAAAACAACCAUUGAUGUUGUAAAUCUGAAAUAAAAAUAGAACAUUUUAGACAAUAGACAAUAGAAAAUAGGUGCAGGAGUAGGCCAUUCGGCCCUUCGAAACAGCACCACGAUUCAUUGUGAUCAUGGCUGAUCAUCCUCAAUCAGUACCCCAUUCCUGUCUUUUCCCCAUAUCCUCUCAUUCCGCUAGCUUUAAGAGCCCUAUCUAGCUCUCCCUUGAAAGUAUCCAAAGAACCGGCCUCCACCGCCCUCUGAAGCAGAUCAUUCCACACUCACAGCAGGUCAGGCAGCAUCAUUGGAAGAGAAAGGGUUCUGGCAAAGGGUCAUUUCAGAAGUUCAGAAGUACGUUAUGGGAGCAGAAUUAGGCCAUUCGCCUUUAGGGCUGCCGGCCCAUCAAGUCUACUCUGCCAUUCAAUCAUGGCUGAUCUAUCUUUCUCGCUUAACCCCAUUAUCCUCGUAUAUCCUCCUCUUCCCAUGGAGUGCUGGGGGAUGAGGGGGGAAUGGAGGAUAGGAGUUGGAAGAGGGAUGGCA
Molecule: RNA transcript, 4507 nt
Organism: Leucoraja erinaceus (little skate)
Lineage: Eukaryota; Metazoa; Chordata; Chondrichthyes; Rajiformes; Rajidae
Gene name: interleukin-8-like
Exons: 3
Source: RefSeq, a predicted model, not a curated record